RNAcentral lists this ribosomal RNA (253 nucleotides) under uncultured bacterium. Its description in RNAcentral is "partial 16S ribosomal RNA". It matches the Rfam family "Bacterial small subunit ribosomal RNA", at positions 524 to 776 of the family's 1533-position model. The record is from RNAcentral.
GACGGAGGAUGCAAGCGUUAUCCGGAAUGAUUGGGCGUAAAGCGCGCGUAGGCGGCCCGGUAAGUCCGUUGUGAAAGUCAAAGGCUCAACCUUUGAACGCCGAUGGAUACUGCCGGGCUAGAGUCCGGAAGAGGCGAGUGGAAUUCCUGGUGUAGCGGUGGAAUGCGCAGAUAUCAGGAGGAACACCAAUAGCGAAGGCAGCUCGCUGGGACGGUACUGACGCUGAGGCGCGAAAGCGUGGGGAGCGAACAGG